AUCUAUUGACAAUGGAUCUCUUGGUUCUCACAAAGAUGAACGUUGAAAAAUAUGUAGUAUGAAUUUUUAGAAAAUGUGAAUCUUCGAUAUGCAUAAUGCACUUUUUAGUUUACUAAAAAAAAGUAUGCCUGCUUCUGUAUUA
RNAcentral lists this ribosomal RNA (142 nucleotides) under Anaeromyces robustus. Its description in RNAcentral is "5.8S ribosomal RNA". It matches the Rfam family "5.8S ribosomal RNA". From Rfam's summary of the family: 5.8S ribosomal RNA (5.8S rRNA) is a component of the large subunit of the eukaryotic ribosome. It is transcribed by RNA polymerase I as part of the 45S precursor that also contains 18S and 28S rRNA. Lineage: Eukaryota; Fungi; Neocallimastigomycota; Neocallimastigomycetes; Neocallimastigales; Neocallimastigaceae. The record is from Rfam by way of RNAcentral.